Molecule: ribosomal RNA, 491 nt
Filed under: uncultured bacterium
Lineage: Bacteria
Description: partial 16S ribosomal RNA
Rfam family: Bacterial small subunit ribosomal RNA
Source: RNAcentral
GUGAACGCUGGCGGUAGGCCUAACACAUACAAGUCGAACGGCAGCACAGUAAGAGCUUGCUCUUACGGGUGGCGAGUGGCAGACGGGUGAGGAAUACAUCGGAAUCUACUUUUUCAUGGGGGAUAACGUAGGGAAACUUACGCUAAUACCGCAUACGACCUACGGGUGAAAGCAGGGGAUCUUCGGACCUUGCGCGAUUGAAUGAGCCGAUGUCGGAUUAGCUAGUUGGCGGGGUAAAGGCCCACCAAGGCGACGAUCCGUAGCUGGUCUGAGAGGAUGAUCAGCCACACUGGAACUGAGACACGGUCCAGACUCCUACGGGAGGCAGCAGUGGGGAAUAUUGGACAAUGGGCGCAAGCCUGAUCCAGCCAUACCGCGUGGGUGAAGAAGGCCUUCGGGUUGUAAAGCCCUUUUGUUGGGAAAGAAAAGCAGCAGGUUAAUACCCCGCUGUUCUGACGGUACCCAAAGAAUAAGCACCGGCUAACUUCGUG